Molecule: long non-coding RNA, 5590 nt
Filed under: Triticum aestivum (bread wheat)
Lineage: Eukaryota; Viridiplantae; Streptophyta; Magnoliopsida; Poales; Poaceae
Description: long non-coding RNA (TAES_LNC015814)
Source: RNAcentral
GUGUCUUGUUUCUGCUACGUUUCUCAUACAAAUUGUCUCUGGAACUCUGCAUGGACAAAUGGGGAACUGGCUUGUUCCAGCUUUGACAAAUCGAAAUCAGCACUAUCUUGCUGUUACAACACUCGCUUGUACUACCAUCUAUUUUUGCAUAUCGAAGUUCAUACAAAAUGAUGGUAUAGAAUCAUCACAGUUUGCACAUAGGCAGGGGAACGGCAGGGGGUUCCUCCCAAGGCAAUGAAGACAUGCUUCCUCGGCUCUUUGCACGUGGAGAAUGCAUCGGCUGUGGGCCAGGGUGCCCUGAGCAUAUCCAGAUGCAAUGGGUAAUGUACAGUCGAUCUUUUCUGCAAGUCACAAGAGUAACCUCAUCACUCCCCGUGUUCACUGCCAUUUCUGAUCGUACAUAUAACAUGCAUUGCAUAUAUAGCUCAAGUGUUGCAUUGUUGCUGGUGUAUAUGUGCACAAUAUCAUAAUUUUGGUAUGUAUCUGCAAAAUAUCAUAAUCUUAGGUACAAAAACAUUCCUAGCAUGCUUGUGCAACUCAGCACCGAAGAAAAAUCACAAGGUAGAACAAAUGAAUUGCGUCCUAAUGACGCGAGCAAAAAACAGUUAUGCCUCUAGUGCUAUAACUGUGAUAUACCAAUUGGCUAUUGUUAUAUCCCAUAUAUUGUUGUCUUAUUUCUAGACGUUGUAGAAGAAAUUUAUCGUGAAUUUUCCUGUGGCGUCCGUUAUGCCAAACAAGUUCAGAUAGUUGUUUACUUGGGUUUGGACCUCUGAGUAGGAGAUGAACUAUGACUGACUUUUUGAUGAACUAUGCACUAUACAUGUGAAGUCUGCUAUUUAUCUGUUACCCAAUAAGCUUGUUUUCCAAAUCAAAAUGAGUGUGUAGAACUCUACGACAUCAAAUUUAUUUCGUCCCUCCUUGUAGGAGAAAUUUCAGCAUUUACAGUUCAAAUCAUCUUACUUUUCACAUAUUCAAAUUCUGCUAAUUAAAAUCAAUCCAAAAUGGUAGUACUAGGAUCAUGACAUACCUUGCACAUGGGUUGGGGUAGCAGAGAGGUGAGAGGGAAUGCAGGUGCGUCUGAGUGUUUCCUCCCGGGUUUCUUCACUAGGGCAAUGAGGAUGGCAUCCCGCUUGGGCUUCCUCAGCUCUUUGUUCGCAGAGAACACGUCGGCUGUGGGCCAGAAUGCCCUAGGAAGAUCCAGAUGCAAUCGGUAAUGUACAAUCAAUCUUUUCUGCAAGUCACAAGAUGUAACCUCAUCAGCCCCUGUGUUCACCUGCUAUUUCUGAUCGUACCUAUAACAUGCAUUGUAUAUAGCUCAAGAGUUGCAUUGUUGCUAGUGUAUAUGCGCACAAUAUCAUAAUUUUGGUGUAUAUCUGCAAAAUAUCAUAAUCUUAGGUACAAAAACAUUCCUAGCAUGCUUGUGCAACUUGGCACCAAGGAAAAAUGAUAAAGCUAUACCAAAUGAAUUGUGUCCUAUUGACGUGAGCAAAAACAGUUACGCCUUUAGUGCCUAUAACUGUGAUAUAGCAAUUGGCUAUUGUUAUACAUGUGUGGUCAGGAUAUAUUGUCGUCUUAUUUCUACACGUUGUAGAAGAAAAGAAAAUUAAAGUGAAUUUUCCUGUGGCAUCCUUUAUUCCAACCAAUUUCAGAUAGUUGUUUACUUGAGUUUGGACCUCUGAGUCGAAGAUGAACUAUGCACUAUACAUGUCAGCUCUGCUAUUUAUCUGUUACACGAUAAGCUUGUUCUCAAAUCAGAAUGAAUAUGUAGAACUCUACGACAUCAAAUAUAUUUCUUCUCUCAUUGUAGGAGAAACUGGUUUGUUUCAUAUUUGAUAAAUCAAAAUCAGCUAUUAUCUUGCUGCUGCUACACUUGAUUAUACAAAAUUUCACCAUUUACAGUUCAAAUCAUCUUAGCUUUCACAUAUUCAAAUUCUCAUAAUUGAAAUUAAUCCAAAAUGAUAGUACUAGAAUCAUGGCAUACCUUGCACAUGGGUUGGGCUAGCAGAUAGGCGAGAGGGAAUGCAGGUGCAUCACAGUGUUUCCUCCCAGAGUUUCUUCACUAGGCAACGAGGAUGGCAUCCCGCUUGGGCUUCCUCAGCUCUUUGCUCGUAGAGAACACGUCAGCUUUGGGCUAGAGUGCCAAUCGGUAAUGCACAAUCAAUCUAUUCUGCAAGUCACACGAUGUAACCUCAUCAGCCUAGCACCUUAGACCCGCCCCAAUCUACACUAGUAAGUAGUAGGCACAAAAAAUAGGUAGAUGAUAAUACAAUGGUAGUGAACAGAACUGCUAGAGAUAUCUUCCAUCAACAAUGGCACCGAGUCUUGCUAGUUUUAAAAACAAAACAUCAGCAGCAUUUAUCACUUACAGGCAGUAAAAGGAGUGUAGGCUCCAGAAAUUCAAGAAAUAACUGCUUGAUUACUUAUAUGCAUGUAAAUAAGCUAGUGUUUCAUGGCAAAAAUAAGCUAGUUGCAUAUAUUAAUGAAUAGGACGGAAAAAUGGCUGCAGAUGGGGCUUCAGCCACCUGUGCUGGAUCUCACAGGCAGCAGUGUGUGUCGUACCAUCUCAUCAUCCUCAUCUAUUGUCGUACCAUCUCCUCAGCCUCAAAUCAUCUAGUUAUUAUGUCAGCGAAGCUGUUCCCAUUGCAACCUCCGCCCAGUUCCUUCACUCGACAUGGCCUCGCUCCCUGGUAAGAGAGGGGGGAAAGGACAUUAUAUUACCAUACAGGCAGUAAAAAAGAAGUGUACAGACAAGAAAAUCAGGGAAGAAUUGCUUGAUUACUUGUGUGCAUGUAAAUAAGCUAAUAAAGCUUCAUGGCCAAAAUAUAAGUUAGUAGCAUCUUAUUGAAUAGGGAGCGGGAAUAGGUACAAAUGGGGCUUCAGCCGUCUGUACAGAUGGGGCAUUAGCAGUAUCAAAAUGAAUAUUUAGAAUUCUAUGACAUCAAAUUUAUUUCUCUUCCCCCUGUAGCAGAAACUGGCUUGUCUCAUCUUUAAUAAAUCAGAAUCAGGUAUUAUCUUGCUGCUGCUACACCUGAUUAUAUGAAAUUUCACCUUUUAUAAUUCAUAUCAACUAUUUUCACAUAUGCAAAUUCUGAUAAUAAGAAUUAAUCCAAAAUGAUAGUCCUAGAAUCAUGACAUACCUCCUUGCACAUGGGUCGGCGUAGCAGACAGGCGAGAGAGAAUGCCAGGUGCAUCGUACGAGUGUUUCCUCCCAAGGUUUCUUCAGUAGGGCAAUGAGGAUGGCAUCUUGCUCGUGCUUCCUCUUUGCUCAUGGUGAAAGUGUCGGCUAUGGGCCAGAGUGCCCUGGGCAAAUCCAGAUGCAUUUGAUAAUGUAUCAAUCAAUCUUUUAUGCAAGUCACAAGAUGUAGCCUCGCCAGUCUAGGGCCUAGAUCCACCCCAAUUUACACUAGUAUAAGAAGUAGUGCCAAAAAAAGGGAGUAGAUGAUAAUAAAAAUGCAAUGGUAGUGAACACAACUACUACAAAUAUCUUCCAUCAACAUAUAUUGAGUCUAAUUAUUACAUUUGUGAUUGUCCGUCCCUAUAACAUGUAUUGCACAUAGCAUUUAUAUACUCAUCUCAUGACAGUUUGGCAUUUGUCUGUCCAAGAAGUGCAUGCAUAUGAAGUGUUGCACUGUUACUGGUAUGUAUUGUCCAAAAUACCAUAAUCUUGGUGUGUAUGUGCAAAAUACCAUAAUUUCAGGAAGAAAAAACAUUCCUAGCAUGCUUGUGCAACUCCGUACCGAGGAAGAAUGAUAAGGCUAAAACAAAUGAAUUGUGUCCUAUUGAUGUGAGCAAAAAUAGUUAAGCCUCUAGUGCUAUGACUGGUAUACCAAUUGGCUAUUUUAUACAUUUGUGUCGUAAUAUAUUGUUUUGUGUUAUUUCUGCAUGUUGGCAUUCGUUAUGCCAACCAAGUUCAGAUAGCAGUUCUUUAGUUGGGUUUGGCACUCCGAGUAGGAGAUGAACUAUACACUGCAUUUGAAGUCCAUCUGCAUCUGUUACCGAAUGAAUAAAAUGUGACAGUGGAUGUUCAGCUUUUUAUAUUUCCCCCGCUAAUUAUGAAGCUAGGUGGUCAUUAUGGCACGGCUCUCAGUUAUAUAAGGAUGAACUGCAAAAUAUUAUCACACAUAUACCUUCUACAUUUCUGUCCAAUAAGCUUGUUUUCCGAAUCAAGAUGAGUAUUAGAACUCUGCGACAAAAAAAUUAUUUCUCCUCUAGUUGGUAGAAGAAACUGGCUUGUUUCAUACUGUAUUAAAUAAAUCAAAAUCGGCCAUUAUCUUGCUGCUGCUACACUUGAUUAUAUGAAAUUUUACCUUCUACAAUUCAAAUAAUAUAUUUUUCACACAUUCAAUUCUGAUAAUUAAUAUUAAACCAAAAUGAUAGCCCUAGAAGGCUAGAAUCAUGACAUACCUUCCUUGCACACGGGUCGGCGUAGCAGAUAGGCGAGAGGGAAUACCAGGUUUCCUGCAAAGGUUUCUUCACUAGGGCGACGAGGAUGGGAUCUCACUCAGGCUUCCUCACCUAUUUGCUCAUGGAGAAUGUGGGGCCAGAGUGCCCUAGGCAUAAUCCAGAUGGAAUCGAUGAUGUACAAUCAGUCUUUUCUGCAAGUGGUAGGCACACAAAAAAAGGAGUACUCCCUCCGUCCCAUAAUAUAAGAACGUUUUUUACACUACACUAGUGUCAGUAGAUGAUAACACGUUGGUAGCGAACAUAACUGCUAAAAACAUCUGCCUUCAUUCACUCUACUUGCCUACCGGCAUGAUCUCUAGUACGAUGUGAGCCUUGAGGCUUCCAAUGCUAAAAUUUGGAACUGAAAACUUGGAACUUUUCAGUAGUUUCAGAGUUGAUCUGCUCCCUGUUGACUCUGUUGUUCUGAUGAAGUGAGGUGCUUGGUUGCAACCUCGGCCUGGCUCCCCCACCCGACAUGCCUUGCUCCCUGGUACAAGGGGGGAAAUGAAGACAUUAUAUCGCAGUAACAAAGAAGUGUGCAGGGAAGAAUUGCUUGAUUACUUAUAAGGUAGAGUUUCAUGGCCAAAAUAAGUUGGUGGCAGCAUAAUGAGCAGACUCACCAGUCUCAUCUACACCCUGAUAGAGGGCAAAAGAAGAUACACAAACAUCACAAAAGGGACGGAAAUUCACCAAAACAACCGGGUCUGUCUAACGGAUUGAGAAAAGAAGAGAGAUUUACUGGCGCACCAACAUGAACCAUACAGUGAGAAAGAUUCAAUCUUUAUCGGCCAGACAAACGAGGUGACACUCGUGGGGUGGGAAAAAACCUAAAUAAGUAGUAGAUUCAGGAGAUUGAGACAAAGGCCGAGGAAAUUUGCAAGAUCCAGCAGGCGAAUUGCAGUCCGUGGGGGAGGCCAGGAAAUUCACUCACCAAUCACAACAGGCAAAUUCAUCAUCUGCUAAGAUUGAGGAGCAAGACAAAUUGACACCCAUCACAACUCCGUAGACCGAGAUGUGGCCAAAGGAGAUGUCCAUGGCGGCUUAGGGUUGGUGCGGAUGGCCAAAGGAGUUGUGCAUGGCGGCUAGGGUUGGUGCGGAUUGGGACUCAGCAACAGGGAGGGGAAAACACAAGAAGAAACGAACUAUG